Molecule: non-coding RNA, 108 nt
Organism: Sturnus vulgaris (Common starling)
Lineage: Eukaryota; Metazoa; Chordata; Aves; Passeriformes; Sturnidae
Source: RefSeq, a predicted model, not a curated record
CAGGCGAGCUGGGAGAGACAGGCGAGAAGGGAGACCGUGGUGUGCCAGGCCCAGAGGGUGAGAAGGGUGAGACGGGAGCCCCAGGGCACCCAGGGCCAUCAGGCAGAG